UGGCGGCGUGCCUAAUACAUGCAAGUCGAACGCACAGCGAAAGGUGCUUGCACCUUUCAAGUGAGUGGCGAACGGGUGAGUAACACGUGGACAACCUGCCUCAAGGCUGGGGAUAACAUUUGGAAACAGAUGCUAAUACCGAAUAAAACUUAGUGUCGCAUGACACAAAGUUAAAAGGCGCUUCGGCGUCACCUAGAGAUGGAUCCGCGGUGCAUUAGUUAGUUGGUGGGGUAAAGGCCUACCAAGACAAUGAUGCAUAGCCGAGUUGAGAGACUGAUCGGCCACAUUGGGACUGAGACACGGCCCAAACUCCUACGGGAGGCUGCAGUAGGGAAUCUUCCACAAUGGGCGAAAGCCUGAUGGAGCAACGCCGCGUGUGUGAUGAAGGCUUUCGGGUCGUAAAGCACUGUUGUAUGGGAAGAACAGCUAGAAUAGGAAAUGAUUUUAGUUUGACGGUACCAUACCAGAAAGGGACGGCUAAAUACGUGCCAGCAGCCGCGGUAAUACGUAUGUCCCGAGCGUUAUCCGGAUUUAUUGGGCGUAAAGCGAGCGCAGACGGUUUAUUAAGUCUGAUGUGAAAGCCCGGAGCUCAACUCC
Molecule: ribosomal RNA, 597 nt
Filed under: Leuconostoc mesenteroides
Lineage: Bacteria; Bacillati; Bacillota; Bacilli; Lactobacillales; Lactobacillaceae
Description: bacterial SSU rRNA
Rfam family: Bacterial small subunit ribosomal RNA
Source: RNAcentral